Long non-coding RNA from Astatotilapia calliptera (eastern happy), 651 nucleotides. NCBI's taxonomy places the organism in Eukaryota, Metazoa, Chordata, Actinopteri, Cichliformes, Cichlidae. The record is from Ensembl.
GCCUGAGCCAGCAGUCAAAGAGGCACCAAACGAGGUGAUCGCCAGGGCAAAUGCAAAAGGCAUACUGGACAAACUGGGCUCCAACCACCUUACUAGAAAAGAACAACACGAAAACAGCAGCAGGAUGAAAAAAGCAGCCAGUGUUCGCACUACCCAGUCCCAGCUCUCUGUCAGCAUUCAGCCCAAGCAUCAUCAGACCAAGAGGAGUGACAGCGCUGUGCUCUGUGGACAUCAGGAUUUUACUAACAUGAAGCAGUCUUCACAAGAAAAACCCAAAUCACUGCGCUUGCAAGCCACAAAGGGCACCACAUCAAGCUCGUUCUCUUACUCCAGACCAGAAUGCAACAGCGCUUCCUGUUCCUCCUCCAAACUAGAAAAAAGCUUACACACUGCUCCUGUCACCACCACUCUGCGUUAUUCUUCUUCUUCUGCCGCUCCUGCGGUCCCAGCGGCCCGCUCACGUGGACCUCAAAAGGAGGUGCUGAAACCUGUGCUCUUCGUCCUGCCUCCCGUUCACUUCCCCAACUUUUUUCCACCCCAGCACAGCCGAUCCAGAUUCAGCCCCAGCCUCAGCUGCAAGUGGAAGAGACAGACUCCGAUCGUUUCCUCCUGCUCCGGUGGCAGUCUCUCCAAAGAUGCUCAGGAAAUUCC